This 373-nucleotide long non-coding RNA is filed under the name Citrus sinensis (sweet orange). RNAcentral's name for it is "long non-coding RNA (CSIN_LNC004709)". The record is from RNAcentral. Lineage: Eukaryota; Viridiplantae; Streptophyta; Magnoliopsida; Sapindales; Rutaceae.
GACUUGUAGCCAAAGACAAAUUUCACGUCAUGCUACGAAGGCGCAGCAUUAAACAUUUCCUUCAGGGAAUUGUUUAUGUGUCAAUGCUGUAAAAAAUAAACAGCUCUUCAGGCAAUAUGUCCAUCAUUCCACCUUUUUCAAUCAAAUGCUGGGGUCACUUGAUAUUUACUUAUAUAUUCUUCUCGGUGACCAAGCCAUUAUUAUAUCAUUUUAUGAUGCCUCGUGAAUUUCUUUCUCUCGCUGGCACUCCUCUCUCUGAUACUGAUUUCUCUAUAAACCUACAGAUGUUGGUGAACCGUCUGCGUUACUACCUUUGAGGGCCAGAAACGGAUAUUGAUAGUUACUAAUAGUAAUCAGAAUAGUUACUAUUUUG